RNAcentral lists this ribosomal RNA (123 nucleotides) under Sinocyclocheilus anshuiensis. Lineage: Eukaryota; Metazoa; Chordata; Actinopteri; Cypriniformes; Cyprinidae. The record is from RNAcentral.
UUAAACAGCCCACUCUUUCUGGCAGUCCCCGCUUAUAUCCUUGACUGAUCUCGGAAGCUAAGCAGGGUGGGUCCUGGUUAGUACUUGGAAGGGAGACCGCCUGGGAAUACCAGGUGCUGUAAG